ACCCGUUCCGAGGGGUGCUCCGAGGAGGAGCUGAGAUACCGCUAAAUGGGCAAUCCGCCAACACCGGCUGCCCAAGACCGCGGUGACCCUUUGAACCUGAUCCGGGUCAUGCCGGCGAAGGGACAGGGAUGUUGCAGACCA
This 141-nucleotide non-coding RNA is filed under the name Bradyrhizobium sp. Its description in RNAcentral is "TPP sequence". It matches the Rfam family "TPP riboswitch aptamer (THI element)". From Rfam's summary of the family: Vitamin B(1) in its active form thiamin pyrophosphate (TPP) is an essential coenzyme that is synthesised by coupling of pyrimidine and thiazole moieties in bacteria. The previously detected thiamin-regulatory element, thi box was extended, resulting in a new, highly conserved RNA secondary structure, the THI element, which is widely distributed in eubacteria and also occurs in some archaea. Analysis of operon structures identified a large number of new candidate thiamin-regulated genes, mostly transporters, in various prokaryotic organisms. Lineage: Bacteria; Pseudomonadati; Pseudomonadota; Alphaproteobacteria; Hyphomicrobiales; Nitrobacteraceae. The record is from RNAcentral.